This 516-nucleotide unclassified non-coding RNA is filed under the name uncultured Glomus. RNAcentral describes it as "SSU rRNA". It matches the Rfam family "Eukaryotic small subunit ribosomal RNA", at positions 569 to 1087 of the family's 1831-position model. Lineage: Eukaryota; Fungi; Glomeromycota; Glomeromycetes; Glomerales; Glomeraceae. The record is from RNAcentral.
AGCAGCCGCGGUAAUUCCAGCUCCAAUAGCGUAUAUUAAAGUUGUUGCAGUUAAAAAGCUCGUAGUUGAAUUUCGGGAUCAAUUUGCUGGUCGUGCCUCUGGUACGUACUGGUAUUAUUGGUUUCUCCCUUCUGACGAACCAUGAUGUCAUUAAUUUGAUGUCGUGGAGAAUCAGGACUGUUACUUUGAAAAAUUAGAGUGUUUAAAGCAGGCAUUAGCUUGAAUACAUUAGCAUGGAAUAAUGAAAUAGGACGUUUGAUCCUAUUUUGUUGGUUUCUAGGAUUGACGUAAUGAUUAAUAGGGAUAGUUGGGGGCAUUAGUAUUCAAUUGUCAGAGGUGAAAUUCUUGGAUUUAUUAAAGACUAACUACUGCGAAAGCAUUUGCCAAGGAUGUUUUCAUUAAUCAAGAACGAAAGUUAGGGGAUCGAAGACGAUCAGAUACCGUCGUAGUCUUAACCAUAAACUAUGCCGACUAGGGAUCGGAUGAUGUUAAUUUUUAAUGUACUCAUUCGGUCCG